RNAcentral lists this ribosomal RNA (480 nucleotides) under uncultured bacterium. RNAcentral's name for it is "partial 16S ribosomal RNA". It matches the Rfam family "Bacterial small subunit ribosomal RNA", at positions 28 to 507 of the family's 1533-position model. The record is from RNAcentral.
GACGAACGCUGGCGGCGCGCUUAACACAUGCAAGUCGAGCGAUGAAACUUUAACAGAACCCUUCGGGGCGAAGAUAAAGUGGAUUAGCGGCGGACGGGUGAGUAACACGUGAGUAACCUGCCUUAGACAUUGGGAUAGCCUCGGGAAACCGGGAUUAAUACCAAAUAAAAUCAUAAUGACACAUGUCAUAACGAUCAAAACUCCGGUGGUCUAAGAUGGACUCGCGUCCCAUUAGCUAGUUGGUAGAGUAAAAGCCUACCAAGGCGACGAUGGGUAGCCGGCCUGAGAGGGUGAACGGCCACAUUGGAACUGAGAAACGGUCCAAACUCCUACGGGAGGCAGCAGUGGGGAAUAUCGCACAAUGGAGGGAACUCUGAUGCAGCGACGCCGCGUGAACGAAGAAGGCUUUCGAGUCGUAAAGUUCUUUUAUAUGGGAAGAUAAUGACGGUACCAUAAGAAAAAGCCCCGGCUAACUACGUG